UUGUCUUGCGGACGGAUUAGCA
Molecule: non-coding RNA, 22 nt
Filed under: Arabidopsis thaliana (thale cress)
Lineage: Eukaryota; Viridiplantae; Streptophyta; Magnoliopsida; Brassicales; Brassicaceae
Source: RNAcentral